GCUGGGUGUGGUGGUGCAUGCCUGUAAUCCCAGCAAUUUGGAAGGCUGAGGCAGAAGGAUCAUGAGUUCAAAGGCAGUCUCUCUAAUGACAAGGUGCUAAGCAACUCAUUGAGACCCUGUCUCUU
This 125-nucleotide small RNA is filed under the name Marmota monax (woodchuck). The record is from RNAcentral. Lineage: Eukaryota; Metazoa; Chordata; Mammalia; Rodentia; Sciuridae.